GUAGGGAAUAUUGGACAAUGGGGGCAACCCUGAUCCAGCCAUGCCGCGUGAGUGAAGAAGGUCCUCGGGUUGUAAAGCCCUUUUGUCCGGAAAGAAAAGCAUUCGGUGAAUACCCGGAUGUUCUGACGGUACCGGAAGAAUAAGCACCGGCUAACUUCGCGCCAGCAGCCGCGGUAAUACGAAGGGUGCAAGCGUUACUCGGAAUUACUGGGCGUAAAGCGUGCGUAGGUGGUUGUUUAAGUCUGAUGUGAAAGCCCUGGGCUCAACCUGGGAAUGGCAUUGGAAACUGGGCAGCUAGAGUGCGGUAGAGGGUAGUGGAAUUCCCGGUGUAGCAGUGAAAUGCGUAGAGAUCGGGAGGAACAUCUGUGGCGAAGGCGACUGCCUGGACCAGCACUGACACUGAGGCACGAAAGCGUGGGGAGCAAACA
RNAcentral lists this ribosomal RNA (428 nucleotides) under uncultured bacterium. Its description in RNAcentral is "bacterial SSU rRNA". It matches the Rfam family "Bacterial small subunit ribosomal RNA", at positions 354 to 774 of the family's 1533-position model. The record is from RNAcentral.